RNAcentral lists this ribosomal RNA (550 nucleotides) under uncultured bacterium. Its description in RNAcentral is "bacterial SSU rRNA". It matches the Rfam family "Bacterial small subunit ribosomal RNA", at positions 355 to 896 of the family's 1533-position model. The record is from RNAcentral.
UAGGGAAUCUUCGGCAAUGGACGGAAGUCUGACCGAGCAACGCCGCGUGAGUGAAAAAGGUUUUCGGAUCGUAAAGCUCUGUUGUAAGAGAAGAACGAGUGUGAGAGUGGAAAGUUCACACUGUGACGGUAUCUUACCAGAAAGGGACGGCUAACUACGUGCCAGCAGCCGCGGUAAUACGUAGGUCCCGAGCGUUGUCCGGAUUUAUUGGGCGUAAAGCGAGCGCAGGCGGUUAGAUAAGUCUGAAGUUAAAGGCUGUGGCUUAACCAUAGUAGGCUUUGGAAACUGUUUAACUUGAGUGCAAGAGGGGAGAGUGGAAUUCCAUGUGUAGCGGUGAAAUGCGUAGAUAUAUGGAGGAACACCGGUGGCGAAAGCGGCUCUCUGGCUUGUAACUGACGCUGAGGCUCGAAAGCGUGGGGAGCAAACAGGAUUAGAUACCCUGGUAGUCCACGCUGUAAACGAUGAGUGCUAGGUGUUAGACCCUUUCCGGGGUUUAGUGCCGUAGCUAACGCAUUAAGCACUCCGCCUGGGGAGUACGACCGCAAGGUUG